GUGCAGGAUGAGAACAUGCUCCAAGAACUUGUGCCUGUGAAAGGUAUGUAGUUCACAUCACAAGAUGUGGCGCGAGAAUUCUACAACACGUAUGCGAGGCAUGCAGGCUUCGGCACACGCAAAAACGGUGGAUCCAAAACAAACAGAUACAUCGUGUGCUCAAAGGAAGGCAGAGGCGAAGAAACUGUCACAGAUUAUCACAGAAAGCGAGAAAAAACAUCAAAGAGGACUGGCUGCAAGGCGGGAAUGAGAUUGAAAAAAAUCAAGGAUGUGUUUGUGAUAGCAGAGAUUGAGCUCAAUCACAACCACAGGAUGAUUGAUAGCCCGGCUAUGCUUCUGCACAUGCACUCGCAUAAGACGGAUGAUCCGUUGCUCGAUAAACUAGUGAAGGACAUGCAGAGCGACAACCUGACGCACACGCAGAUGAUGUCAACCCUGUCAAGGAUGUCAGGAGGGCUGCACUUUAUGGGGCGCACCAGCCGUGACUGGGUGAACAGGAAGCAUCAAUUCGCGAGGGAGGAAACAGAGGACGAUGUGAAGAAACUCCUGGCUUUCUUUGAGAAGAUGCAGCAAAUGAACCCGGAGUUCUUCUAUGAUUACGACAAAGACGUCGAUAACCGUGUGCGGAACAUAUUCUGGGCGAACGCCAGCUGCAGGGGAUCGUACGAAGAUUUUGGAGAUUAUGUCACAUUUGACACGACCUACAAGACCAACAAGUUCCACAUGCCUCUCGCCGUAUUCGUUGGAGUCAACCACCACCUCCAAAGUACAAUAUUCGUUGUGGCUCUCAUCAGAGACGAAACAAUACCGACUUUCGAGUGGGUGUUCCGAACGUUAUUGCGUUGCAUGAACAAUAAGCGGCCAAUCUGCAUACUCAUAGAUCAAUGCCCCUCCAUGGAUGCCGCGAUAAAAAGUACGCUAAUAGGCACGCUGCACAAGUUAUGCCGUUGGCAUAUACUGAAAAAAUACAAGGAUCACCUGUCCUUGCUGUACAAAACGUAUGAGAAAUUCAAGGAUGAGCUGACCUCCGUUCUCAACCACCCGCUGAUGCCAUCAGAGUUUGAACGCGCUUGGCAUGAGCUCAUGGAAAAGUAUAACCUGCAAAAUGAUGAGAUUAUGAAGGCGCUUUGGACAGACAGAAAAGAAUGGAUAUCGGCUUACUGCAAGGAGGUGUUCUGUGCACGGAUGACGUCGACACAGAGAAGUGAAAGCAUGAACCAGAUCUUGAAGAGGAACUUUGUCAAGGAAAGACAUGACCUACACAUCUUUGCAUCGCAGGUGGACAGGUGCAUCCAGACAAGGAAGGGCGUCGAGCACGCGGAGACCAUAGCUAACGAGGUAUAUAAACAGAGCAAAGUUUUUAAAGAUGGAUGA
RNAcentral lists this ribosomal RNA (1374 nucleotides) under Triticum aestivum (bread wheat). RNAcentral's name for it is "partial small subunit ribosomal RNA". The record is from RNAcentral. Lineage: Eukaryota; Viridiplantae; Streptophyta; Magnoliopsida; Poales; Poaceae.